CAUGGGUUAUGGCGGGGUGGUGGUAGCUGAGAAUGGGAAAUCUACUACCACCACUGCUACUUACUAAUCAAUUCAUAGGAACAAACACCUUAUGACUUUGACUUGUCCAAGGACACCAAUUCAUCAAGAAUGACGAACGGCAUGGCAUGGAGUUGAGCCUGAGAGCCGAGAGUUGAAAGUUUAGAGAUGGAAAUAGAAAAAGAGAUGGAGUAGAGGAUUGAGCGGUGGAAAGAGCGGGAGGAGACCACGCCGUUGGUUUGGCUGACAGAGAUGGUGAAAUGCGUAGUCUCCAAUGGACUGGGACUGCCCAACGUUGAGUGAGGACCAGAAAAUUCAAUGGCCUCCUACAAAGGUUACACUUUCUUAAGGUAAAUAAGUCGGCAUGCCCGAGUCUAAAAUCUGCAAACCAGAUUUUGGCCUAACUAUUGGCCGACAUCAAGAGAAUUUGAAGUUUUGAGUACCAGUUAAAGAAACAUUGGCUCAUUGGAAUGUUGGUGGAUAUAGGAUCAUGCAAGCCAAUUUCUUGCUGCAAUUUUGGUUCUGGACAGUCGGCUUGUUGGGUGCCUUUUAAUAUUUAUAUGGAGAAUGCUAUGAAUGGGAAGUAACUUUCCAUCAAAUUAGCUUUUGUUAUACUCAUAGGAGUGUGAUUCCUUGGAGGGCCCUAUUCCACAUCUUGAGGCUCGUCUUUGCAUCAUUUUGUCUAUUGUGCCCUUGGCAAUUGUUAAUGUCUUUAAGGUUGAGGCCAAAUUGCAAUCUUUUUCUUCCUAAGAAUCUGGGUAUGAAGAUUGAAUGGGUGGAAAAGGCUGUGAUGCAAGAAAAUGGGGAUUGAUUUUUGCUUUCUAGCUACUUGGAAACUUUUCUGGGCUUCUAUGCCCUUUAACAUCCAUUAUAGCUGUAGUUAAUACUACUGCUGCAAAAGCUGUAAGCUUUUUUUUUUAAAGAAUCAUAGGGAUGGUUUAGAUAGCGGUAGUCCUAUUGAAACUUGCUUAAAUACAGGUAAUUUGAAUUUGUACAUGUAAUUAUACUCCCACAACUGAUUAUGACUAAGGUCAUUUGGGUUUAUUCUAUUGUCUAUUUGCUUUUAUUUCCUUGGUGCUUUCUAUACUUAUCUCUGUGCUUUAUUUUUAGGUGGCAACAUGAGGCACCUCAUUGUGGAAGCCUGCAGUGCAAGAAAUUUAAGUGACUCAUCAGCAUAUUUUUGGCUUGGUUAUGUCUCUUCUUUAAUGGCUUCAUCUGAAUUAUCACUAGUUAAGAAAUCUUCUUGGUUUAGUUUUAUGGAAAGAGCUCCACUCAAUGGUCAUCUAGUAAAUUCUUUUUUAACAACUUUUGCUUCCAAGUAUAAUGAGAAUUUUAUAGUUAGCUCCAGGUUGGAAAAUUCAUUAAUUUGAUUUUCUCCAAGGCUCUUUUGUUUAAGUUUAGCUAAGAUAGAGAAACUAUAUCACAUUGCAUUGAAUGGGUUAGUUGAGGAGAAGUUAGCAAUUGCAAAGAUUCUAUAUGGUGUGUUCCUUAGCUAUGGAUAGAAUGUUUAGGUACCAUGUCCAUACUUCAUACUAUUUUAAAAAAGUUAAAGUUGGUUGUUUCAAAAGUUUUCUUACCUACUUAUUAUGGCUUAAAAUGUUUUUCAUGAAUUUACCUACUAUAGUUGUUCAAAACUCUAAUUCUGUUGCUUGAAUUUGUUGAUGAGUUGAAGAGGGCCACCAAAGAAAGGCCACUUGCUAUCUUUUCAAUUUUAUUUAUUUGAAAUGGGCAUGAACUAGAAUUUGUUUGUCACUAGAAGCCCCACAUUUAUCUUGUUUCAUACUUGAAUCAUGGGGAGAUAAGGGCAUAGAGCACUUUAUUUCACCCUUUUUGUGCUUUUCGAUGCCUUAUUUUUCCUCAAAAGGAAAAUUUACUUAUCUUUGGCAAGAACAUGUGGCACACUUUGUUGUCAAACUUCUUUCUCCUCUUGUGUCUCUUGCUUAUGGAUCACUUGAUUGAUCAUAUGCCAAUGUUAUGUGCUGUUCUGUUUGGAGCUUCCUCUAUUGACACUGUCCAUAUUCUCUCUUUACUUGGAGUGGUAAGUGAUGUCUUGUGAAACCUUUUGUGGUUUUUGGAUCUCUAAGAUAUAUUAGUGAUAUCAGCUUCAUUUCCUUAUUAAGAUUGUUCAUGACAACUUGGCUGUUGUUGGCUAACAUACAAGCCGCAUGCUGAAGGGACUCCAUUCUAUUUGGUUGUUUAUGAGCCAGUUUUUCUCAUGAUAAAGUGAUUGUUCAAACACCAUGUUUUAGACAAUAAAGUAUUAAUUCCAAGGAACUAGUCUUUA
Molecule: long non-coding RNA, 2302 nt
Organism: Theobroma umbraticum
Lineage: Eukaryota; Viridiplantae; Streptophyta; Magnoliopsida; Malvales; Malvaceae
Source: RefSeq, a predicted model, not a curated record